This 428-nucleotide RNase P RNA is filed under the name Enterococcus faecalis V583. RNAcentral describes it as "RnpB". The stretch from base 8 to 376 matches the Rfam family "Bacterial RNase P class B". Rfam says of the family: Ribonuclease P (RNase P) is a ubiquitous endoribonuclease, found in archaea, bacteria and eukarya as well as chloroplasts and mitochondria. Its best characterised activity is the generation of mature 5'-ends of tRNAs by cleaving the 5'-leader elements of precursor-tRNAs. Lineage: Bacteria; Bacillati; Bacillota; Bacilli; Lactobacillales; Enterococcaceae. The record is from RNAcentral.
AUUUGUAAUUUUCGGGUGAUCGCGGUUUGCUUUUGCAAGCUGAGGAAAGUCCAUGCUCGCACAAGCUGAGAUGCUUGUAGUGUUCGUGCUUAGCGAAAUCAUAAGCUAAGGUACUCUUUUAGAGUAACGGCAGGAAAAAUGACUAAGGUUUCGACUAUGUCAAAGUAUCCUUGAAAGUGCCACAGUGACGAAGCGAUGUGGGAAACUCCAUCGGUGGAACGCGGUAAACCCCUCGAGCGAGCAACCCAAACAAUGGUAGGGGCGCUCUUCUAAAGGAAAUGAACGAGUAGAAGAGGCAGAGUUUACUCUGCAGAUAGAUGAUGACCGUCACCAAUUUUUCCUGAAGAAUUGGUGAUACAGAACAUGGCUUAUAGAAAAUUACAAGUAAUUCAGGAAGACCUUCCAACGUAGUUGUGAAGGCUUUUUUU